This 526-nucleotide long non-coding RNA is filed under the name Phoenix dactylifera (date palm). RNAcentral describes it as "long non-coding RNA (PDAC_LNC019874)". Lineage: Eukaryota; Viridiplantae; Streptophyta; Magnoliopsida; Arecales; Arecaceae. The record is from RNAcentral.
GCUAAACCUGUGCUUUCUGUCACCAAGGGCCUAAUCUUACUUUCAAAUGGUCAAGUCAUUAGAGACAACAUUACAGUGCACGAGGAAUCUUGAAUGAGAACAUGGGCAUAUCAAUAUUGAAAAGCUUUUUUUAAUGUCCCGAUAUCAAUAAUGAGAACGAUGAGAUGGUCACAUGUCUUGAGAUAUAAAAAUUGGGGCUAAAUAGGCUUUCUUUAAGGUAGUAUAGCCGCAAAAGAAUACUACUCCAGUUGAAAAGCUCUAUGCGGCCUUUUUAGGCUUACAUCAUCAUGUAUUUUGAAUGGCUUCCAAAUUUGCAGAAGGAUAUGGUAGGCAUAUAUUUGCUCCUAAGUAACAUCUUUAGAAAAUCCUUACGGGACUUACAUACAGCUGCUGAGCUGCCUGUAUCAUUUAUUGGCUACCAUAUUGGCAUUACAGUCUCUUAGUUGUAGCAAGAUUUAUAGCUGCUGGUGCAAAGUCUAUUUUGUUUGAGAUCGUAACCUGACAAAUUUCAGCAUGUGUUCAAUUA